GACGAACGCUGGCGGCGUGCUUAACACAUGCAAGUCGAACGGAAAGGCCCUGCUUUUGUGGGGUGCUCGAGUGGCGAACGGGUGAGUAACACGUGUGUAACCUGCCCUUUACUUUGGGAUAACUUCAGGAAACUGGGGCUAAUACCGGAUAGGAUCUCCUGCUGCAUGGUGGGGGUUGGAAAGUUUCGGCGGUUGGGGAUGGACUCGCGGCUUAUCAGCUUGUUGGUUGGUUAGUGGCUUACCAAGGCUUUGACGGGUAGCCGGCCUGAGAGGGUGACCGGGAACAUUGGGACUGAGAGACGGAGCAGAAUACAACGGGAGGCAGCAGAGGGGAAUAGUGCAAAAUGGGAGGAAGGCUGAUGAAGAAACGCCGGGUGCGGGAUGAAGGCCUUCGGGUUGUAAAAAGAUUUGGAAUGUGAAGAAGAGUGAGUGACGGUAAUGGGUAAAGAAGCACCGGCUAACUACGUG
Molecule: ribosomal RNA, 468 nt
Filed under: uncultured bacterium
Lineage: Bacteria
Description: partial 16S ribosomal RNA
Rfam family: Bacterial small subunit ribosomal RNA
Source: RNAcentral